AGUUAUCAGAAGAGAUAUUCUCUGCAUUCAUAACAAGAAACUUCUAUUACUGAACAUAAUAGGAACAGAAUGAAGUACAGCAUGUUUAUGUCUUUAGUGUGUUUAUUGUCACUGACGGUGUCUGGAUCAUUUACCUUACCAAGCAGUCUAUUGCAGAAAAUAGCAGAUUCAGGGUCCUUGAAGAUUGCUGAUAAAAGAGUUCAGCAAAAGAUGAACUUUGGUCGACAAAAUGGAGAUGGAAAGUCUUUUAAUCAACUGGUAUCUUACUUAUAUAAUAUUGGUAAAAAGUAAAUUUGUUUUGAGUUUUGAAAGAUAAAAUUUGUUAUGUCGUU
Long non-coding RNA from Mytilus trossulus (common blue mussel), 332 nucleotides. RefSeq lists it as uncharacterized. The transcript is spliced from 3 exons. Lineage: Eukaryota; Metazoa; Mollusca; Bivalvia; Mytilida; Mytilidae. The record is from RefSeq and is a predicted model, not a curated record.